CCAGACUCCUACGGGAGGCAGCAGUGGGGAAUAUUGGGCAAUGGAGGAAACUCUUACCCAGCAAUGCCGCGUGAAUGAAGAAGGUCUUCGGAUUGUAAAGUUCUUUAAUUGGGGACGAAAAAAAUGACGGUACCCAAGGAAUAAGCCCCGGCUAACUACGUGCCAGCAGCCGCGGUAAUACAUAGGGAGCAAGCGUUAUCCGGAUUUAUUGGGUGUAAAGGGUGCGUAGACGGGAAAUUAAGUUAGUUGUGAAAUCCCUCGGCUUAACUGAGGAACUGCAACUAAAACUGAUUUUCUUGAGUACUGGAGAGGAAAGUGGAAUUCCUAGUGUAGCGGUGAAAUGCGUAGAUAUUAGGAGGAACACCAGUGGCGAAGGCGACUUUCUGGACAGUAACUGACGUUGAGGCACGAAAGUGUGGGGAGCAAACAGGAUUAGAUACCCUCGUAAA
RNAcentral lists this ribosomal RNA (449 nucleotides) under uncultured bacterium. RNAcentral's name for it is "bacterial SSU rRNA". It matches the Rfam family "Bacterial small subunit ribosomal RNA", at positions 331 to 794 of the family's 1533-position model. The record is from RNAcentral.